UACAGAGGGGGCAAGCGUUGUUCGGAAUUACUGGGCGUAAAGGGCGCGUAGGCGGCCUUCUAAGUCGAACGUGAAAUCCCCAGGCUCAACCUGGGAACUGCGUCUGAUACUGGAUGGCUUGAAUCCGGGAGAGGGAUGCAGAAUUCCAGGUGUAGCGGUGAAAUGCGUAGAUAUCUGGAGGAAUACCGGUGGCGAAGGCGGCAUCCUGGACCGGCAUUGACGCUGAGGAGCGAAAGCUAGGGGAGCAAACGGG
Molecule: ribosomal RNA, 253 nt
Filed under: uncultured bacterium
Lineage: Bacteria
Description: partial 16S ribosomal RNA
Rfam family: Bacterial small subunit ribosomal RNA
Source: RNAcentral